AUUGAACGCUGGCGGAAUGCUUUACACAUGCAAGUCGAACGGCAGCACGGGGGCAACCCUGGUGGCGAGUGGCGAACGGGUGAGUAAUACAUCGGAACGUGCCCAGUCGUGGGGGAUAACGUAGCGAAAGCUACGCUAAUACCGCAUACGAUCUACGGAUGAAAGCGGGGGAUCGCAAGACCUCGCGCGAUUGGAGCGGCCGAUGGCAGAUUAGGUAGUUGGUGGGGUAAAGGCUCACCAAGCCUUCGAUCUGUAGCUGGUCUGAGAGGACGACCAGCCACACUGGGACUGAGACACGGCCCAGACUCCUACGGGAGGCAGCAGUGGGGAAUUUUGGACAAUGGGCGAAAGCCUGAUCCAGCCAUUCCGCGUGCAGGAUGAAGGCCCUCGGGUUGUAAACUGCUUUUGUACGGACGAAACGGCCUUUUCUAAUACAGAGGGCUAAUGACGGUACCGUAAGAAUAAGCACCGGCUAACUACGUGCCAGCAGCCGCGGUAAAGUAUACG
Molecule: ribosomal RNA, 507 nt
Filed under: uncultured bacterium
Lineage: Bacteria
Description: bacterial SSU rRNA
Rfam family: Bacterial small subunit ribosomal RNA
Source: RNAcentral